RNAcentral lists this non-coding RNA (78 nucleotides) under Chamaesiphon minutus PCC 6605. Lineage: Bacteria; Bacillati; Cyanobacteriota; Cyanophyceae; Gomontiellales; Chamaesiphonaceae. The record is from RNAcentral.
UUGAGCGGCUUGAUGUGAAAGUAUCACGAGCCGUUCUGAGGGGAGGGAGACAGGGCGACCUGCUCUCUCUUACCCGAC